GACGUAGGGUGCAAGCGUUGUCCGGAUUUAUUGGGCGUAAAGAGCUCGUAGGCGGCUUGUUGCGUCGACUGUGAAAACCCGCGGCUUAACCGCGGGCUUGCAGUUGAUACGGGCAGGCUAGAGUUCGGUAGGGGAGACUGGAAUUCCCGGUGUAGCGGUGAAAUGCGUAGAUAUCUGGAGGAACACCGGUGGCGAAGGCGGCAUCCUGGACCGGCAUUGACGCUGAGGCGCGAAAGCUAGGGGAGCAAACGGG
This 253-nucleotide ribosomal RNA is filed under the name uncultured bacterium. RNAcentral describes it as "partial 16S ribosomal RNA". It matches the Rfam family "Bacterial small subunit ribosomal RNA", at positions 524 to 776 of the family's 1533-position model. The record is from RNAcentral.